Molecule: ribosomal RNA, 253 nt
Filed under: uncultured bacterium
Lineage: Bacteria
Description: partial 16S ribosomal RNA
Rfam family: Bacterial small subunit ribosomal RNA
Source: RNAcentral
UACGAAGGGUGCAAGCGUUGCUCGGAAUUACUGGGCGUAAAGCGCGCGUAGGCGGCUUUGCAAGUCGGGUGUGAAAUCCCCAGGCUUAACCUGGGAACUGCAUUCGAGACUGCAUUGCUAGAGUAUGGGAGAGGGAAGUGGAAUUUCCGGUGUAGCGGUGAAAUGCGUAGAUAUCGGGAGGAACAUCAGUGGCGAAGGCGGCCAUCUGGACCAACACUGACACUGAGGCACAAAAGCGUGGGUAGCAAACAGG